GAUAUGGGGAUAUAUGUAUAUGUAUAGCUGAUUCACUUUGUUAUACAGCAAAAACUAACAUACCAUUGUAAAGCAAUUAUACUCCAAUAAAGAUGUUAAAAAAUAUAUAUAUUCAAAAUAUUCGAGGAAACUAUGCCAACAACAAAUAAACAAAUAAAGAAUCUCAACAGAGAAAUGGAAAAAAGAAGCAAGUGGAAAUUCUAGAGCUUAAAACUGUACUAACUGAAAUGAAAAAUUCAUGGCAUGAGUUUAUUUGGGAUGUGAGAAGAAAGAAUCGCUGAAUUUCAUAGAAUGAUAGAAAUAAUUUAAUCCAAAGAACAAAAAGAAAACACCUCAUGAUCAAACUGCCAAAAGCUAGAAGUAAAGAAAUCAUUUUUUUUCUAUUUUUUGGCCAUGCCCUGUGGCAUGUGGGAUCUUAGUUCCCCGACCAGGGAUCAAAACCCUGCAGUGGAAGCAUGGUGUCUUAACCACUGGACUUCCAGGGAAGUCCCAAGAAAUCAUUUUUAAGAGAGCAAAAAAAAAAAAAUGUUACAUUCUACACAGGGAACAACAAUAUAAUUUACUGCUGACUUUUCAUAGAAAUAACAGAAGCCAAAGGACAUUGAAAGCCUAAAAUACUUUGUGAAUUUGCUGCAUUUUCUGUGAAAGAACAGUGGCUUCCUAUUCUUUUUUAGUGAUUGCCUAUUCUGUUUAGUGACAUGAUAAAAGAAAAUAAAAAGCUAUAACCAAUAAAACCGUCUCUCAAAACUGAAGACAAAACAUAAAACCAUUUCUAGGUUAAAAAAAGAGAGAGAAAAUAAAACUGAGAGAAUUUGUUGCUGGCAAACCUGUGCUAAAAGAACUGCUAAAGAGAGGUGACAUUGGAUGGUAACUUGUAUAGUAACUUAGAUUCAAGAAGGACUAAAGAAUACCCCAAAUGGAAAUAAUACAUUUUUUCUUCUAUUACUUUUUUAAAAAAGACACAUGACUAUUGGAAGCAAAAAUUAUAAUACUACAUUGUUGGGCUUUAACAUAUAAAGAUUAUAUAUAUGACCACAAUAGCACAAAAAAUAGCACAAAAGGGAAUGGAGUUAUAUAAACGCAAAGUUCCUACAUUUUAUUUGAAGUUAGUCAGUAUUAACUUGAAAUAGAUGGUGAUAAAUAAAAGAUGUAUAUUGUAAUACUUAGGUAAAGCACUAAAAUUAAUGCAAAGAAAUAUAGCUAAGAAGUCAAUACAGGGACUUCUCUGGUGGUGCAGUCAUUGGGAAUCCGCCUGCCAGUGCAGGGGACAUGGGUUCAAUCCCUGGUCUGGGAAGAUCCCACAUGCCAUGGAGCAGCUAAGCCCUUGCACCACAACUACUUAGCCUGCGCUCUAGAGCCCGCGAGCCACAGCUACUGAGCCCGUACACCUAGACCCUAUGCUCCGCAACAAGAGAAGCCAGCACAAUGAGAAACCUGUGCACUGCAAUGAAGAGUAGCCCCCGCUCGUUGCAACUAGAGAAAGCCUGCACAACAAUGAAGACGCAAUGCAGCUAAAACAAAAUAAAAUUUUUUAAAAAAAUAGAAAAUUAAUACAAGAAUUAAAAUGAAAUACAAAAACAUAUUUGUUUAAUAUAAAAAUGCAGGAGUAACAAGGAUUAAAAAGAGAGAAAGAUGAGACAAAUAAGAAAAAAAUAGCUAAAGGCAGACUUAUAACCGUGGGAAUGAACUAAAAAUUCCAAUCAAAAGACAGAAACUGUCAGACUGGAAAAAAGAGAGAGCUGUUGCCUAUAAUAGAUCACUUUAAGUUCAAAGACAUAAAGAGGUUAAAGUAAAUGGAUGAAUAAUAUAUAGGAGGCAAAUACAUAAACAAUAAUCAGAAGGGAGAUGAAUGAUUUUUUAUUAAUGUCAGACAAAAUAGACUUUAAAAAAAUGAAUAUUACUAGAGACAGAGUAUUUUAUAAUGAUAAAAGUGUCAAUACAAGAGAAAGAAAUGAAAUAUUAUUAAUUUAUUUGUACCUAAAAGAGAGGUCCAAAAUUCAUAAAGUAAAAACUGACAGAAUUGAAAGACAAAAUAGAAAUACCAAUAAUUAUAGCUGAAGAUAUCAAUACUGUUCUCUCAGUAAGCGAUAGAACAAGUAGAACAGUAAGAACAGAAAACUUGAACAGCACUAUCAAACAAAUUGACCAAACUGACAUCUAUAGAACACUUCACCCAACAACAGCAGAAUACCUUUUGUUUUCAAAUGUACAUGGAAUGUUUACAAAAUAAACUCUAUGCUGGAUGAUAAAACAUUUUAAAUGUCUGUACAUUUAAAAAGGUUACUAUCAUAUAUAGCAUGCUCUUUGAUGACAAUUGGAAAUAACUUUAGGAAUCUGCAACAGACAAAAUUUGAGAAAUCCUAAUAUACGGGGAAACUAAACACACUUCUAACUAACUUAUGAGUCAAAGAAGAGAUCACAAGGAAAAUUAGAAAAUGCAUCAAACAAUGAAGCAGAGAACACAACAUAUUCAAAUUUGUGGGAUGUAGCCAAAGCAGUGGUUAUAUGGAAAAUUUAUAGCUUUAAAAGCUUAUGUUAUAAAAGAAGACAGUUCUAAAAUCAGUGAACUAUGCUUCCAACUUAGGAAGCUAAAAAUGAAGAGAAGAUUAAAUACUGAGUAAGUAGAAGGAAGGCAAUAAUAAAGAUCAGUAGGGAAAUCAAUAAAAUACAACAUGGAAAAACAAUAGAAAAAAACAAAAAAACCAAAUGCGGUUUCUUUGAAAAGAUCAAUAAAAUUGACAAAUCUUUAUCUGGAUUGAGAGUAGACACAAAUUACCAAUUAGGAAUGAAAGAGGGAACAUCACUACAGAUCAUAAAAACAUUAAGUGGGUAACAAGAAAAUAUUACAAACAACCUGCUCUGAAAUUUAAAACACAUUAAUGAAAGAAAUUAAAGAAGACCUAAAUAAAAUGGAGGGAUAUACCAUGUUCAUGGUCUGAAAGAUCCUGGGUACUCUUUUGCCAUCUUACCUGGGGGCCUUGACAGAAGACAUGUUCAUUUCAGUUUUUUCUUUUUUAAUUAAUUAAUUAAUUUUUGGCUGUGUUGGGUCUUCGUUUCUGUGCGAGCGCUUUCUCUAGUUGUGGCAAAUGGGGGCCACUCUUCAUCACGGUGCGCAGGCCUCUCACUGUUGUGGCCUCUCUUGUUGCAGAGCACAGGCUCCGGACCUGCAGGCUCAGUAGUUGUGGCUCACGGGCCUAGUUGCUCUGCGGCAUGUGGGAUCUUCCUGGACCAGGGCUCGAACCCGUGUCCCCUGCAUUGGCAGGCGGACUCUCAACCAGUGCGCCACCAGGGAAGCCCUCAUUUCUUGCUCAUGUUAGUCCUGUGUGGGUUGGGGGAGGGGAGGGAAGACUCUGCUUCACCUGGUGACUCAGGGACCAGCUUCUUCCGUCUUGUAUCUCCUCCUUCCUCUAGACCUUCAGAGUCCUUUCCUUUCAGCUGGAAGCUGCAUGAAGAGCAAACGUGGAGGACUGUGCAGGGAUUUUUCUAUGACCACAUUAGAUUUUGCUCUACAAAUCACCCUGAACGUAGUACUGCUGUUACCACUGCAGGUGGUGAUUCUGAACAGCGCUGUGGUUCCCGCCACACCCCGCAGUGGGGAUGUGGGGAUGGUAUUUCAGCUUUAGGUGCCCCCAGGGCUUGGGAAGCCCCACUCUGAUUGCUUGUCAUCCUCUCCAACCUGCAAAAUGAACAUAUACCUCUUCCCCAAAUGGCAAAACCACUGGGAGUGAUCCUCCCUUUUCUCUUGGUUGGGGGAAUUCCCUCUGGGCUGCAGUUCUGAGGGGGCCCAGUGGGCACCAUUGGGCUCCACCCUGUGGUGUCCGUUCAGCACGUGGUUCUGGCACCUCGGAGACCCUCUCUCUGUGCGCCCCCUCAGUGCUCCCCUGAUCCUUGCAGCAACAUUCGAGGUCUUUCUCUGGUGUGUCUGGAAGUUCCCUUCCUUCAGCUUUUAGUGAAGGGUACUAAAAUGCAUGCAUUUCCUAGUGAAACUUAAGCAAAGCCAAGCACUGCUGGGGGCCAGUUUUUUUUCUUUAGACUUUAAGCAACAGAGAAGCGGGAUGGUUUCCAAGACCUCAGCCCAGGGCAAUUUGGUAUGUGUGCCUUUUCUGUGACAUCCUCCCUCCAGCCCUUUCUGUGCAGGCAGCCUCUGGCCUCCACCGUGGGAGACGUGGUUCACCAUCUCCCUCCGGGCACAGGGAUGAUGGAGGAAAUUGACCUCAGGGACCUGGCUGAUCACCACAGCUCUGUUCAUCUGUUACCGCUAAGAGGUGAAGUUCAGAAGUCAGCCUGACCUCGUCUACCCCUAGGUCCACGGCAAAGUGAUUCCCUCUUCGCCUCCCAUACUACCUCAAAUAACAUCUAUCUAAAACUCUGCUGUAGGCUGAAACUCUGGGCCCCCACACCCCGCCAAAUUCAUGUGUACCUACAAAUGUAACUCUAUUUGGAGACACGGGUCUGUAAAGAGAUGAUGAAGUUAAAAUGAGAUCCUGUGGAUGGGCCCUAAUCCAACUUGGCUGGUGUCCUUACGAGAAGAGGAGAUUAGGACACAGACACGUGCAGAGGAAAGAUCACGUGAGGACACAGGGAGAAGACAGCCGUCUACAGGCCGAGGAGAAACCAACCCUGCUGACAUCUUGACCUUGGGCUUCUAGCCUGCAGAACUGUGAGAAGACAAACGCCUGUCCUUUAAGCCCCCCAGCCCGAGGCAUUGCGUUAUGGCGGCUGGAAGAGCCUGAGAGCCCUCCCUCCCCAGUCGUUCUCUAUCACACCACCCCUCUUUAUUUUUCACGAUGACUCCAAUCACUGCCUGGAAUUUGUUACUUGUGUGUUGCCCCCUGGCCCUCCUGAGGGUUCAUGAAGGCAGAGACCCUGUCUGCGCUGCCCGCCUCCAGACCCCACGACCCAGGACAGCGCCAGCACGUGCUCAGCUCACAGAGCUGCCAGAUGAUAGACCACUCGCUCACAGUGGAGGCUUCGCUGUGCGGCUGGCAACCAGUUUACUUUAAAGCAAACGAAAUCUUGUAAUUACUCUGGUUGUGGAGAAGUACAUCCCGGCCCAGGCCAGUCCUGGAAGGCCCUGCAGGUCCUGGGGUUGAGAAAGGAAGCAGGACAAACGCACUCUCCCCAGCUUUUAAUGGCGAGCGGGGUUCGAGCUCUCAGAACCCCAGCUCCCGCCUGCUUAGCAGCCUUGGCCACCAGCUGAAGAGCAGACGGAGGAUGCUGGGACAUCCAAGCGCUAAGCGUGUGAGGUUCCAAGUGCCUGUGUGUGCCUGUGUGUGUGUGUGUGUGUGUGUGUGUGUUGGACACGUGGGGUAUGAAACAAUGCAGAUAGAAACAAAAGUGUUUUAGACGUAAUUACCCAACGAAUCAAGAUUGGGCUCUGCUAGGGUUUGGCUUCAUGUCCAAUCAGGAUGGCUUGCUUUAUGAAAGUGUAAAAAUAAAUAUUUAUCCGAAGUCUGUACUCCCAGCCACGGAAUCCAGCAUUUCGUGCAGACAUCACCCUGGAUGAGCUGCUUAAUUAACGCGGGGCUACCCUUGCUUGGAAUUCGUCUGACCCUUCCAGCUACCACGUGGGGCUAGCGGAGCUCGUGAAGAUUCAGCGGUCCCGAACAGAAGCCACUGGUCACAUGAGGCUCUUUCCAGUGAAAUGAAGGAAAGGAGAAGUUCAGUUCCUCAGUUGCUCUGGUCACAUUGCCCAUGUUCAGUGGCCUCAUGGGGUUACUGCAUGGUGGAAAUAUAGAACAUUUCCGGGAUUACAGAAAGUUCUAUUACCUUUAGGGUAGAGAGCAGCCAGGCUGGCAGGGAUCGCUCUGGGGACGUGGAAUGGGUUUGGAGGGCAGUGGUCUUCAGUCUGGAGAGAUCCCCAAAGGGGUGUUGGGACCCUCAGGAAAGCUGGUUGGUUGUCUGUCUGCUGGCCCUUUGUCCUCAGCCAAUAGCAGAGAGACCUGCUUUAGCUGAGGGUCUACGAUGAGCCCAGCUCCUGGUAUUCCAGAUGUAUUUAACGCUUGUAACAAUUCUCUAAGGUAAGUGUUUCCUCAUUUUUAUGAUUGAGAAAACUGCAGAUCAGAGAAGUAACUUGUCCAUCACCAACUAGCAAGUGACACAGUCAGGAUGUAAACUUGGGUUUAGCUAGUCCUGCGCAAAGGCUUUUUCUGUGGUAUCUUUCUGCUUUCUUGGAAACCUGGGCUCUGGUAGAACACAGGGGAGGAAGAGAAUGAUUGCACUCACUCUCUGGGCUCCCCUUCCCUCCAUCAGGGUAUCCCAAAGACCCCUGGUCUCCCUCCUAGCUGGUUGAAACCAGCCGGCUCUGAAGUGUGCAUGUUGCUUACCCGAGGGUCCUUGUCGUGAUGUCUGAGCAUCUUCCUGCAUCUACAGGCAGGUACCUAGAGACAGCCACCUAUAGCACAAUUGAUAAUGGUGUUGAUUAAGCAUAUUGGUAUUGCAGUUCCUAUAGAGGGAGGACCAUGCCUGCUGGGGCACCUGCAGCGCUGCUCACGGAUGGUGGGGCUCGGUAGAGGGGGCUCACCCAUGAGGCCCUGAUGUCCUCAAGAGGGAAGGAGGACUUGCAAGGAGAGCUCAGGUCCUGGAUUUUCUGACCUCACUUUUCUGCUCAUGAAACGAGAAGAGAACCAAGGCAUGUGGCCCUCCAAUCCACAAAUUAUGUACCUUUCAAUCACCUUAUAAAUUCAGUGGGUUACAAUGUUUUCUGCACGUAUAUCUCUUUAAAAAGAUUUUUAUAUAAAUAGGGGCUUAAAAUCUAACUUUAGAAGCCUAUUUUUCACUUUUAGUGCUUUUUUUUGGGGGGGGGCGGUUUAUGCCCUUAAUUAUCACAUGCAGUUGGCACACAAAUGCAGUCUUAAUUAGGCAAAGCCGAAUAAGCGGUAAUACAAGGCAUUUCAGGGACACAUGGGGGAGAUUCUAGGAUCCCAAACCUUAGACACAGAACAGAUGCUGUCUUUUCACGAAGUGCAAGUCUGACUUGUGAAAGUCCUCUUUUAGCCACACUGGGGAGGGAAAGAUACCUGAGGCCGGAGUGGCCAGAGCAGCACCCCCUUCCCCUGUACAGAAAGUGCACAGAUCAUAAACCUACGGCCACAAGUGGACACAUUCUUGUGAACACCGAGGUCAAAUACAGGGACGUUGCCCCAAAAUGGCAUUCCACUAGCAAUCUUAUCUGUCUCUAAAAAUGCCUUUGACUAAAAUUAUAUUUUAUCUGAUACAUAUUUUUUAACUUUCACCUACUACCUUUAUUUAUUUAUUUAUUUAUUUAUUUAAAUUUUGGCUGCAUUGGGUCUUCAUUGCUUCCCACGGGCUUUCUCUAGUUGUGGCGAGUGGGGGCUACUCUUCAUUGUGUUGCACGGGCUUCUCAUUGUGGUGGCUUCUCUUUUUGUGGAGCAUGGGCUCUAGGCGCACGGGCUUCAGUAGUUGUGGCAUGCAGGCUCAGUAGUUGUGGCACGUGGGCUCAGUAGUUGUGGCAUGCGGGCUCAGUAGUUGUGGCACGCGGGCUCAGUAGUUGUGGCACACGGACUCAGUAGUUGUGGCUUGUGGGCUCUAGAGCGCAGGCUCAGUAGUUGUUGCGCACGGGCUUAGUUGCUCCGCGGCAUGUGGGAUCUUCCCAGACCAGGCCUCUAACCCGUGUCCCCAGCACUGGCAGGCACAUUCUUAACCACUGUGCCACCAGGGAAGUCCCUCACCCACUACUUUUAUUUAUUUAUAUUUUUAUUUUCCUCCAGCUGUACCGAGAUACUGUUGACAUACAACACAUGGUUCUCAGUCAGGAGGACAAACCUUGCCCAUAAUUCUAUGGUUCCAGAAAAGAGGCUGCAUUGAUCUAGGUGAUGAUCCAGGGACACACCAAUAAAACCGUCUGCCUGUCCUUCACCUGCCACCUUAAAAAGGCAGGUGGCCAUGGUGGUCCUUAGCCAGUUUGGAUGCCAUGGCUGAAGCCACCCCCAGGACUGAUGGAGCGAUGAGACAGAGGGACCCUACACCCAGACCGGAUGUGACAGAAAAGAAAAGUCUUUCUUGUUUAAACCAGUAUUAAUGUGGCUACAGCUCUGGUAAAGCUAUGAGCCUAUGUCGUAAUGUAAAAUAAUAAGUUUUAGGGUCUCUUGAAAGCUAAAUUUUUUUUUUUUUUUUUUGCGGUACACGGGCCUCUCACUGUUGUGGCCUCUCCCGUUGCGGAGCACAGGCUCCGGACGCGCAGGCUCAGUGGCCACGGCUCACCGGCCCAGCCGCUCCGCGGCAUCUGGGAUCCUCCCGGACUGGGGCACGAACCCGCGUCCACUGCAUCGGCAGGCGGACUCUCAACCGCUGAGCCACCAGGGAAGCCCGAAAGCUAACUUUAAUCACACUUAACCAAAUCAAUGCUUACCUAGCCUUGCAUUGUUAAGCAACAGUGUAUAGCCUCCUUUUUUAAAAAAGGAGUUUUCUGCAUUACGGUAGGUUGACGGUCCAGUUUGCUCUUGGGUCUGAAUCUCCCUGUGGUGUGUCAGCCUAUCUGACAAGUGUGGCAGCAUAUGAUUUGGAAAUAUCAGUUGAUGUUUUCCUUUUUGCCCUCUGAUCCUUCACUCAGGUGGGGUUUUUUUUUGUCUCAGGGAAGGGAGGGGACCACAGAGAGAAAAAACUGGAGUCUGGUCUGGGCCAACCCUGGGGGGCGUCAGAAAGGACUCCUCUGUGCAGACCACUGAGUGGGAGCACUGGGAGAGACCCAGACAGAAAACCGGGCCCUGGGGGCCUUGGGCCGGGGAGAGGGGCCUGACUCAGCAGGAUGGGUGGGCCUGAGGCCACCUCAGCAGGGGCAAGCAUGGACAGAUGACCCCCCCUGAGCCCCUCUGCAACACCAGGGAACCAUGAACUUCUCCUUGAACUCAGCUGCAACUCAGGAAAGUCCGGGGACCCAGAUUCGAUUGGUGGAAAUUAUGCUGAGCUACAGAGAAAUGAACAGAGUUACACCUGCUUUUAUCAACCGAUAUUUGUAUCUACUACACAUGGCUUUAUGGACAUCAGUUCUGGGCCUGGCGAAAUAAUGAGUAUUGCAGAUGCAAAAACUGUCACAGACACAGAGAUGCAGGAGACAUUGGUCUCUUCUUUCUAUCCUUUUAUUCUCCACUCAAGCCACCAGGGCCUAAGGUGGCCAAGCUUGAAGGUCUCAUGCUACUUGGAUGUCUGAAGAAUGCUGGGCUAUUAUACUAUUAACACGAGUGUAGAAUCUGUGGAACUAAAUUAUGGGGUUCCUUUGCUGGUGGUAAGUUCUCAAAGUACUUUUUUUGCUAGCAGCUACCCACUUUGGAUAGUUUGCUUUGCCCAGGGGGUGCACUAAACAUUUGCUGAGGGAAAAGAAGGAAACUCUGUUUCUUCAUGAUUUCCCAAACGAUUUAGCCUCUGUUUGAGAGGCAGGUGACUUUAUUUGAGUGAAUACUAUGGGCACAAUCAUUAGUUUCUGUUGGAAGUAAACACUCAGCAAAAGAGUGACCUGUGAGGGUAAACAGCCCAGAGCACAUAAAGUCAUGCCCUGUUCAAGAAAGGCUGAGAACUCAGAACUGGAAUAAACAGUCUCAGUGACUACAUGUGAAUAAUGCUGAUUUUGCACCAAAAAAGAGCUUCCCAUCAAAUUUUAGUGCUUAUCUGAGAACCGCACUAAGAAUUGUAUAUUAAAGGGUGAAAAUAAUUUGCUGAAAUCCUACUUCUUCCCCUUAAAAAGUCACUGAUUAGCAAAAUUGCGAACAAAUAGCUUUUCAAGCAAGUCAGCAGCAAAACAGUCUACAUAAAUUACAUUAGUAGUGAAGAAAAAUUCCCCCAAAUGGGAUGCUUGGCCAUAAUAAUGAGUUAUUUUAGGAGAAAAUGUGAAUGGGAUUUUAUAUAAUCUUGGAAGGGGGGAGGUCUUGCGUGACAUGACACAAAUCAUGACAAAAUUCAGAAGCUGUAAAGGAAAAUAUUGAUACAUUUGACUUCACGCAAUUUGAAAGAUUUUAUGUCAAGGGUACCACAAAUGAAUUUAAAAUAUCAACCAAAAAGUAACCAUCAAAUAAAAUAUGAAUUUUAUAUUAAAAUAUAAAAUUGCUAAAAUACCUAGCAAUUUUCCAUUGCUAAGAAAAAUAUUUGCAACCUAAUGUGGUGGGGGCUGAUAGCCAGUGCCCUCUGAAAUCUGUAUUCUUUCUUCCAUUGCUGUGGAAUACUAGGGAGGCCUCAGUAGGACUCCAGAAUUGUGCCCACAAUCCCUGAUGUUCAUGCCCUGGCAUAGUCUCCUCCCCUUGAGUGUGGGCAGGACAUGCAACUUGUCUCUAGCCAUAGAAUAUGGCAAAGGUAGCAGGACACACAUGCUUGUGUGCAAGUGAUGAUGUAUGUAAGAUUGCACCACCUAUCUUGCUGGAGUCUCUCUCUCUUUUGUUGGCUUCGAGGAAAUCCCAUAUGACAAAGAAUUGAACAUGGCUCCUAGGAGCUGAAGGAAGCUUCAGAUGGGGCUGUUAGCAAGAAACUGAAGCCUUCAGUUCUACAGCUGCCAACAACCAGAAGCAGAUCUUUCCCUAGUCCAGACUCAGAUGAGACUGCAGCCGUAGCCAACACCUUAACCGCAACCUUGCAAAGGACCCAGUUGAGCUGUGCUCAAGCUCCUGACCCACAGGAACUGCAAGCUAAGAAAUGUUUAGUUUUAAGAUACUAAAUUAAUGGCAACAUUAUUAGGCAUAAUAGAUAGCUAAUGCAAACCCAACUAUACUGCAUCUCCCAGGCUCCCUUGCAGUUAGAUGUUGCCAUGUGACUAAGCUCUAAUCUACAGAAUGUGAACAGAGGACAUACAAAUGGCCAGUAAGCACACGAAAAGAUGCUCAACAUCACUAAUCUUUAGGUCAUUAGGGAAAUGCAAACUGAAAUCACAAUGAGAUUCCACCUUGUACCCGUUAAGAUGGCUACUAUAAAAAAAUAACCAGUGUUGGCAAGGAUAUGGAGAAACUGGAGCCCUUGUACGCUGUUGGUGGGAACGUAAAAUUGUAUGGCCUCCGAGGAAAACAGUUUGACAGCUCCUCCAAGAAUUAAACAUAGCAUUACUAUAUGAUCCAGCAAUUCCAUUUCUGAGAUAUACCUGAAAGAAUUCAAGGCAGGGUCUUGAAGAGAUAUUUGUACACUCAUGUUCACAGCAGCAUUAUUUAUUCACAGUAGCUAAAGUGUACAAUCAACCCACGUAUCCACAGACAGAAGAAUGGAUAAGCAAACUGUGGUCUAUACACACGAUGGAAUGUUAUUCAGCUUUAAAAAGGAAGGAAGGAAGUUCUGACACAUCCUACAACCUUGAUGAACCUUGAUGACAUAAUGCUAAGGGAAAUAAGGCAGUCCCCAAAGAGACAAAUACUGUAUGAUUCCACUUAUAUGAGGCAUCUACAGUAGUCAGAUUUAUAGAGACAGAAAGCAGAAUGGUGGGUGCCAGGGGAGGAGUGAGAAGUUGUUGUUUAAUGGGGACAGAGUUUCAGUUUUGCAGGACGAGAAGAGUUCUGGAGAUGGAUGGUGGUGACGUUUGCACAGCAAUGUGAAUGCACUUAAUGCCACUGAACCGUAUACUUAAAAAUGGUUAAUAUGGUAAAUUUUAUAUGUAUCAAAAGUUGCAAAAAAGCAAGUUGCAAAAAUAAUAUGUAGCACAACCCCAAUUUAUAAAAACAUGUAUGCUUGUUUGUUGUAUGCAUAAAGAAUUUCUGAAAGAAUACACAAAAAAACCCACAGUAGGGAGGCUGGGAAAUCAGAUGAGGGGGAGACCAACGUUUGUAUGUUUUCUGGUGCUGUUUGGAAUUUUAGUUUAUGACGUACAUGUCUUACUUCUAAAAUGUAAAACAAAUUAUUAAUGAGGAGAUUGGAUUUUCUCCUACAUUGAUUCCUUAGAUUACUCUGGGGCCAGCCCUUGAGGAUUAUACUGAUUCCUUAUGUUGGUUUCUGCUGAGAUGUUUGGAGCUGUUGGGUUUUGGUUUCUUCUACAAAACUGUUUUCCAGAGGGUAAUACUUAAUUCUUCAACAGCAAAACAGCCAGAAUAAAUUUUGAAACUUUGUUGGAUUGUAUCUGAAUGAUGUGAAUCAACAAAUAAAGGUCACUGAAAGAGGCUUCAGUGUUUCUAAGACACCAAAUAGAGCCACAAUCGAGACAGCAUUUGGCAAAAAAUGAACACACACAAUUCCUCACAUGUAGACACCAUGUCUUCUACUUUUUUUGUGUCUUCCAUGGCAUUCAGUAAAUUCUAUGUAGUACUAAGUUAAAUGCUUAAUAACUCCAUGGUGGGUGGAAACAAUUUUCAUGGCUAAUGUCGACGAGAAUAGAUCAUAUGACUAGUUCAUCUUGACUAUGUUGAUCUUUCAAUCAUCAGUCUCAGAGUUAAAAUAAUUAAAUCACUCAAAUUACCCAAAUAGGCAAAAGGAAUGUCGAGCAAGACACUAUCUUUAGGGGAGGGAAGAAUACACAGAAAUGUAUUUCUUGAAUGGCUCCAUAUAGAAGCAUUUGGAUGUGGACACCCUCACAAGCCCAAAGAGAUACAGCCUUUAGGUGAAGGAGAGAAGUAUUAGCUGGAGACCAGAGUGGCCCCGCCGCUGAAAAAGGAAGCAUUAAAAGUUGCACAUAGGGCUUCCCUGGUGGCGCAGUGGUUGAGAGUCCGCCUGCCGAUGCAGGGGACACGGGUUGGAGCCCUGGUCUGGGAGGAUCCCACAUGCCGCGGAACAACUAGGCCCGUGAGCCACAACUACUGAACCUGCGCGUCUGGAGCCUGUGCUCCGCAACAAGAGAGGCCGCGAUAGUGAGAGGCCCGCGCACCCCGAUGAAGAGUGGCCCCCGCUCGCCGCAACUAGAGAAAGCCCUUGCACAGAAACGAAGACCCAACACAG
Orcinus orca (killer whale) is the source of this 12852-nucleotide long non-coding RNA. RefSeq lists it as uncharacterized. NCBI's taxonomy places the organism in Eukaryota, Metazoa, Chordata, Mammalia, Artiodactyla, Delphinidae. The transcript is spliced from 3 exons. The record is from RefSeq and is a predicted model, not a curated record.